UAAUCCGGGAACAGCUGACAUCAGCUUCCGUUAGUCAACUCCAACAGAUCGAACCUUUCGAUUGUAACUGGAACGAUUUGCAUACUGAUUCCUUUUCAUAGGCACCGAGGUACAUAACAGAGCAGAGCUAUUCGAAUGCAAGUGGCAUUACGAGGAUAUACUGGCCCCAAAACAGGCUCUUCACCCCACGGCCAAGGAUUAAGGCUGGACUCUGAUUUUUUUUUUUCUCUUCUUAAUUUUGUUCCAUUUUCUUGAUUUUUUUUUUUCGGCGAUGGCUUCGAAAGCCAGAAGGGCGAGAGAUAGGAUGGGACGGCGGGAGGUGGGGAGAGAGGGCAAGGGGACGCCUGGUCCUUCCCUCAAAGUGCAGAGGACUGGCCGGAGAGGUGUUGUGAUUAGCCGGCCGCGGGCAUCGAAAAGGCGACACCCGGACAAGCUGAGAAAGUUUAUUGUUAGCAACCAUCCCGCACCCGAACCCUCUACUCCCUUCUGCGCCUCCCCCUCCCCCUUCUCCGACCAAGAGAAGGACCUUGGAAGAGCGGCCCGUCUUCCCAUUCAAAUUAUGCAGAUCUGUUUUCCUUGGACCAUGUCCGAUAUUUGACUCUUGCAGGAUGGGGUUUUUUUUUAAAAAGGUGCAACAUGCCCCGAAACGGCUGCAAAUGUGUUAUUAAACGUGGAUUUCGGAUUUGACUUUGACCGAAUCUAUAAAGUGUGUUAUCGACAAUUUAUUUCCAAAAUAAAAAAAUGAACACAAGUCAGAUGACUUUAACGGCACAAAAUGAAAGGCGAUAUAAAAUGUGGAUUACAAAAUGGUGUUUAAAAUUAAACUUUACUGAUGACUUUUAAUAACAUGUAGGUUCCAAGAAGCUCAACAGGCGAAAGUACAAAAAAAAAGAGUCCGGUUAAUCUGCUGAAGCAGCAGCUGUUGGCUUUUGGAGUCUUGAAGCGCCACCUUUGACACGUCCCUUUUCAAUCAAGGCAGACCAGCAGCAACUGACCACUACAGGCACCAUAAAAGAAGGACGAGAAGACGCCUGAUCAAGAUGCUGCCACAUUUACCCAUAACAGACCUUUCAACGUUUUGUUAGAUUAGCUGAUGCCGGCCUCUAUCUUUUUUUAAAUUUCAAAUGUGUGUGGAUUUUCACCCCCUCUCAGCCACCACCUCCCUCCCUCCCCGGCCCCAACAAACACACAAACACUGACCAAAUGAUUCAGGACCAUUAAUACUCACACAUACACAGAACAGCUUUAUUUUAAGAAUGGUCCGUGAACAAUAUGGGUUUUUAGUCUGAAGAAGGGUCUCGACCCGAAACGUCACCCAUCCCUUCUCUCCAGAGAUGCUGCCUGUCCCGCUGAGUUACUCCAGUAUUGUUGUGUCUAUAAUAUGGGUUUAUAUUAACGUUUUCUUCCAAUCCAAUGUCACACAAUUUUCCAUCAUAUAUAUUUGUUCUCUGAUUUAACCUCCAACUGGUUCGUAGCAGUUAAAUUGUUAUUCAAUUUUUAGAAAUUAAAUUAAAUUCCUGAAGCAGGCAGGUCCAAAAUAAACCUAUCCGCGGUGAUGUCUUCACAUAAGCGAAUUAAUUUAGGAAUCUAAUAUUUCCAUAAUAUCCUAUUGACAGCAUUAUAUAAAUGUCCGUCCGACCAACUAUUUGUCCAACCUAAUUCAUCGCAUUGACCAGGAUUCCGCUGAAUUAACACAAUCGAUAAUCAGAAUAUAAGUUAUUAAUUGAUAACAUUACUGAUGAACAUUGGAAUCUCGACAAUAGCUUGACAUGUAAUGGUUCCCCUUAAUAGUGAUUGUUUCAUUGUUGCCAAAGAUAUAUUGCAAAUAACUGCUGGACACUAGUGCUGUUUAACGCUUAUGCUAAGAUAAUGGCUUAAUGAUAUAACUGCUGUAAUGUAUCCAUCUUAAUGCUAAGUGGAGCUUGAUUAAACCGAUAAUAGUGAGCUC
Molecule: long non-coding RNA, 1948 nt
Organism: Amblyraja radiata (thorny skate)
Lineage: Eukaryota; Metazoa; Chordata; Chondrichthyes; Rajiformes; Rajidae
Exons: 3
Source: RefSeq, a predicted model, not a curated record